CUUACAUAAUACAUAACAGCAUAAGUUGUAGAGAAAUAAUUAUGGAUGUUAUUAACAUUGGUACUUUUGAGUUUCAAAACAACCUGUUAUAAGAAUGUUCGGAAAAAUAUGCUAUUCAUCCAAGGAGGUUUAUUUUAAAUGAAUCGGGUUAUAUUUGGUGCAUGCAUAGAACUCCAUAAUUCCAUGAAAUCACAAGUAAAUUCAGUUUUAUUGAGACCAUGGUAAAGGGAGCAAUUCAAAUACCAAUCAAACAAAUCCAAAAAAAAAAAAAAACAUAUACUGUCCAAUCAAGAUAUAAAAAUUAGAGAUCUUAGUCCAUUUGAAAUGUGGCCUUUUGGUCUCACCCCUCUUUUAAAAAAAUUUCUGCCCUUCUAUCUCCUGUAGAGAGGAGUCAGGAUGAAAACUGGAAACAUACAAAUAAAGAAUUGGAUACUGUAGAAGUACAGAAAACAAGCAGGUGUCACAUUUGGUCUUCAGGCAACAUCAAAUAUUCUCUUCUCUUCCUGCCUGGUUGGAAGAUGGUGGGGUCCAAGACCAAGAGCGAACCUGCAUGCCGAGGCAUAUUGCACAGGAUUAAAAGAAGAGGCAGGAAAUAAAGGAAAUGAGUCCUAAAGCGUGGUCUCUAAAGCCUUCUGUUUUAAGUCUCAUAUAACUUGUCUGCUUAUUUAUUAUCAAUGGUUCUUAACUUUGAGGGGAGAGGAGUGGUCAUGGAUUUCUUUGAGAAUCUAAUGAAAGCUAUG
This 740-nucleotide long non-coding RNA is filed under the name Mustela putorius furo (domestic ferret). RNAcentral's name for it is "lncRNA (ENSMPUG00000028971.1)". The record is from RNAcentral. Lineage: Eukaryota; Metazoa; Chordata; Mammalia; Carnivora; Mustelidae.